CCCUUAGAUGUUCUGGGCCGCACGCGUGCUACACUGUGUAAAUCAAUGGGUAAGGGAACACGAAAGUGCAACCUAAUCUUGAAAUUUGCUCGUGAUGGGGAUCGACGGUUGCAAUUUUCCGUCGUGAACGAGGAAUACCUUGUAGGCGCGUGUCAUCAUCACGCGCCGAAUACGUCCCUGCCCUUUGUACACACCGCCCGUCGCUCCUACCGAUUGAGUGAUCCGGUGAGGCUCUGGGACCUGGACGGAAAGAGCGUUUCGCUUGUUCUGUUUGGGAAACUUGGUCGAACCUUAUCAUUUAGAGGAAGGAGAAGUCGUAACA
Molecule: ribosomal RNA, 322 nt
Filed under: uncultured eukaryote
Lineage: Eukaryota
Description: partial 18S ribosomal RNA
Rfam family: Eukaryotic small subunit ribosomal RNA
Source: RNAcentral